This 480-nucleotide ribosomal RNA is filed under the name uncultured bacterium. RNAcentral's name for it is "partial 16S ribosomal RNA". It matches the Rfam family "Bacterial small subunit ribosomal RNA", at positions 28 to 523 of the family's 1533-position model. The record is from RNAcentral.
GACGAACGCUGGCGGCGUGCUUAACACAUGCAAGUCGAACGGUAAGGCCCCUUCGGGGGUACACGAGUGGCGAACGGGUGAGUAACACGUGGGUGUUCUGCGCUGCACUUCGGGAUAAGUCUGGGAAACUGGGUCUAAUACCGGGUCGGCCCUCUGCCUGCAUGGGAGGGGGUGGAAAGCUUUUGGGGGGUGGGAUGGGCCCGCGGCCUAUCAGCUUGUUGGUGGGGGGAUGGCCUACCAAGGCGUCGACGGGUAGCCUGCCUGUGAGGGUGUCCGGCCACACUGGGACUGAGAUACGGCCCAGACUCCUACGGGAGGCAGCAGUGGGGAAUAUUGCACAAUGGGCGCAAGCCUGAUGCAGCGACGCCGCGUGAGGGAUGACGGCCUUCGGGUUGUAAACCUCUUUCACCAGGGACGAAGCGCAAGUGACGGUACCUGGAGAAGAAGCACCGGCCAACUACGUGCCAGCAGCCGCAGUAA